AUGUCCCUGACGUUUUCUCAUAGUGACUUUGACUGCAGCACAGUAAAAUGCUGUAAACACCUGUAGAUCAUCAUCAUUACACGUUCGCUCUCUCGGCCGGCAUCGGCUACAGCGCGUCCGAUUGACACAGUACAGUAAUGUAAAAAACGAAUUACAAAACAAAAUUUCUGCUGGAUUACGCGCAGGUAACACGCAGGGUUGAUAUGACGU
Molecule: non-coding RNA, 210 nt
Organism: Cinara cedri
Lineage: Eukaryota; Metazoa; Arthropoda; Insecta; Hemiptera; Aphididae
Source: the annotation of a GenBank genome assembly